CCUACGGGAGGCUGCAGUGGGGAAUAUUGGGCAAUGGGCGAAAGCCUGACCCAGCAACGCCGCGUGAAGGAAGAAGGCUUUCGGGUUGUAAACUUCUUUUCUCAGGGACGAAGCGAGUGACGGUCCCUGAGCACUACGCGACGGCUAACUACGUGCCAGCGGCCACGGUAAUCCGUAGGUGGCAGGCGUUAACCGGAUUUGCUGGGUGUAAGGGGCGUGUGGGCGGGACUGCAAGUCAGAUGGGAAAACCACGGGCUCAACCUGGGGCCUGCAUUUGAAACUGUAGUUCUGGAGUACUGGAGAGGCAGACGGAAUUCCUAGUGUAGCGGUGAAAUGCGUAGAUAUUAGGAGGAACACCAGUUGCGAAGGCGGUCUGCUGGACAGCAACUGACGCUGAGGCGCGAAAGCGUGGGGAGCAAACAGGAUUAGAUACCCUAGUAGUC
Molecule: ribosomal RNA, 443 nt
Filed under: uncultured bacterium
Lineage: Bacteria
Description: partial 16S ribosomal RNA
Rfam family: Bacterial small subunit ribosomal RNA
Source: RNAcentral